GGCGAGAUGGCGACCAGUCUGAGGCGGUGGUUUUAAUCACCAGUCUCUCCGUAGGCGUGGGUUCGAAUCCCACUCUCGUCA
RNAcentral lists this transfer RNA (81 nucleotides) under Toxocara canis (dog roundworm). It matches the Rfam family "tRNA". Rfam says of the family: Transfer RNA (tRNA) molecules are approximately 80 nucleotides in length. Their secondary structure includes four short double-helical elements and three loops (D, anti-codon, and T loops). The record is from Rfam by way of RNAcentral. Lineage: Eukaryota; Metazoa; Nematoda; Chromadorea; Rhabditida; Toxocaridae.